GAUGAACGCUGGCGGCGUGCCUAAUACAUGCAAGUCGAGCGAACAGAUAAGGAGCUUGCUCCUUUGAAGUUAGCGGCGGACGGGUGAGUAACACGUGGGUAACCUACCUAUAAGACUGGGAUAACUUCGGGAAACCGGAGCUAAUACCGGAUAACAUUUAGAACCGCAUGGUUCUAAAGUGAAAGAUGGUUUUGCUAUCACUUAUAGAUGGACCCGCGCCGUAUUAGCUAGUUGGUAAGGUAACGGCUUACCAAGGCGACGAUACGUAGCCGACCUGAGAGGGUGAUCGGCCACACUGGAACUGAGACACGGUCCAGACUCCUACGGGAGGCAGCAGUAGGGAAUCUUCCGCAAUGGGCGAAAGCCUGACGGAGCAACGCCGCGUGAGUGAUGAAGGGUUUCGGCUCGUAAAACUCUGUUAUUAUGGAAGAACAAAUGUGUAAGUAACUGUGCACAUCUUGACGGUACCUAAUCAGAAAGCCACGGCUAACUUCGUGCCAGCUGCCGCGGUUAUACGUAUGUGGCAAGCGUUAUCCGGAAUUAUUGGGUGUAAAGCCGCGCGUAGGCGGUUUCUUAAGUCUGAUGUGAAAGCCCACGGCUCAACCGUGGAGGGUCAUUGGAAACUGGGAAACUUGAGUGCAGAAGAGGAAAGUGGAAUUCCAUGUGUAGCGGUGAAAUGCGCAGAGAUAUGGAGGAAUACCAGUGGCGAAGGCGACUUUCUGGUCUGUAACUGACGCUGAUGUGCGAAAGCGUGGGGAUCAAACAGGAUUAGAUACCCUGGUAGUCCACGCCGUAAACGAUGAGUGCUAAGUGUUAGGGGGUUUCCGCCCCUUAGUGCUGCAGCUAACGCAUUAAACACUCCGCCUGGGGAGUACGACCGCAAGGUUGAAACUCAAAGGAAUUGACGGGGACCCGCACAAGCGGUGGAGCAUGUGGUUUAAUUCGAAGCAACGCGAAGAACCUUACCAAAUCUUGACAUCCUUUGAAAACUCUAGAGAUAGAGCCUUCCCCUUCGGGGGACAAAGUGACAGGUGGUGCAUGGUUGUCGUCAGCUCGUGUCGUGAGAUGUUGGGUUAAGUCCCGCAACGAGCGCAACCCUUAAGCUUAGUUGCCAUCAUUAAGUUGGGCACUCUAGGUUGACUGCCGGUGACAAACCGGAGGAAGGUGGGGAUGACGUCAAAUCAUCAUGCCCCUUAUGAUUUGGGCUACACACGUGCUACAAUGGACAAUACAAAGGGCAGCUAAACCGCGAGGUCAUGCAAAUCCCAUAAAGUUGUUCUCAGUUCGGAUUGUAGUCUGCAACUCGACUACAUGAAGCUGGAAUCGCUAGUAAUCGUAGAUCAGCAUGCUACGGUGAAUACGUUCCCGGGUCU
Molecule: ribosomal RNA, 1373 nt
Filed under: uncultured bacterium
Lineage: Bacteria
Description: bacterial SSU rRNA
Rfam family: Bacterial small subunit ribosomal RNA
Source: RNAcentral